This 74-nucleotide transfer RNA is filed under the name Acidimicrobiales bacterium. RNAcentral's name for it is "tRNA-Pro". It matches the Rfam family "tRNA". From Rfam's summary of the family: Transfer RNA (tRNA) molecules are approximately 80 nucleotides in length. Their secondary structure includes four short double-helical elements and three loops (D, anti-codon, and T loops). Lineage: Bacteria; Bacillati; Actinomycetota; Acidimicrobiia; Acidimicrobiales. The record is from RNAcentral.
CGGGACGUGGCGCAGCUUGGUAGCGCACCUGCUUUGGGAGCAGGGGGUCGAGUGUUCAAAUCACUCCGUCCCGA